This 72-nucleotide transfer RNA is filed under the name Camelus bactrianus (Bactrian camel). It matches the Rfam family "tRNA". Rfam says of the family: Transfer RNA (tRNA) molecules are approximately 80 nucleotides in length. Their secondary structure includes four short double-helical elements and three loops (D, anti-codon, and T loops). RNAcentral also lists the same sequence under 2 other names. The record is from Rfam by way of RNAcentral. Lineage: Eukaryota; Metazoa; Chordata; Mammalia; Artiodactyla; Camelidae.
GAGAAUAUAGCUCAGUGGUAGAGUACCUGCUUAGCAUGCAUGAGGUCCUGGGUUCAAUCCCCAGUACCUCCA